Molecule: long non-coding RNA, 720 nt
Organism: Cucurbita moschata (crookneck pumpkin)
Lineage: Eukaryota; Viridiplantae; Streptophyta; Magnoliopsida; Cucurbitales; Cucurbitaceae
Exons: 5
Source: RefSeq, a predicted model, not a curated record
UUUUCCACUGUCAGAGCCAAAUGGUCUUCGGAGGCGUUACCCCCGGCUUAUUCGGACGCCAGCUGUCUCGGCCCCGCGGGACCAUAUAUAUCCCUCCCGCACUCACACUCUCUUCUUCAGGACACUUUCUCACACUAGAAUCAGAGCGCUCCAUCAACGGCCUCUUCCCUUCCGAACGUUCGUUGCCAAACUCAAACGCUAGAUAAUUACCAAGCAAUCGGAGCAAGAGGGAGCAGAAUCGAAAGGAGUUUCUCGCCUGAUCCCGGUGAUGCAAAAUAGAGAAGAGAAGAGAACGGCGAACUCUUAUGUCAUUGAGAUUGGUUCCGAUAUAACAGAGUGGGGAAGAACGAAGCAGUUGCUCUUGAUGAAGUGAUUGCUUGGCAAAAGAAAAACAGUUGGUCCUGUCAAAUCAGGCUGGUGGAUUUUCGCAUCUGCUAGGAAUACUGGUCAUGAUGAUGAACGAUAUGAGAUAUAUACUAGUGUUUGGAUCAACUUUUGAGACUGAUUUGAGUUUAGGCAAAAUGAUCUCAAUCAAUUUGUUGAAAUCGAAGGACGGUCCGUUCAUGUAAAGUUUGUUGUAAACAAUUAGGGAUGCAUGAAAUAUAACCACACAACCCACUAAGAUGGAAAUGGAGGACAUAGAUGUAAAUAAUAAAGUUGAGGUCAAGGAAUCCAACUCUAAUUGCUACAUUCAACACUCCAUCAUGUAAGAAUGUUGUG